Molecule: ribosomal RNA, 412 nt
Filed under: uncultured bacterium
Lineage: Bacteria
Description: bacterial SSU rRNA
Rfam family: Bacterial small subunit ribosomal RNA
Source: RNAcentral
GAUGAACGCUGACAGAAUGCUUAACACAUGCAAGUCGAUUCGAUUUACCUUCGGGUAUUGAGGAUGGCGGACGGGUGAGUAACGCGUAAGGAACUUGCCUCUUGGACUGGGACAACUGUUGGAAACGACAGCUAAUACCGGAUAUUAUGAGAUUCUCGCAUGGGAAACUUAUGAAAGCUAUAUGCGCCAAGAGAGAGCCUUGCGUUCCAUUAGCUAGUUGGUGGGUAACGGCCCACCAAGGCGACGAUGGAUAGCCGGCCUGAGAGGGUGAACGGCCACAAGGGGACUGAGACACGGCCCUUACUCCUACGGGAGCAGCAGUGGGGAAUAUUGGACAAUGGGCCACAAGCCUGAUCCAGCAAUUCUGUGUGCACGAUGAAGGUCUUCGGAUCGUAAAGUGCUUUCAGUUGGG